RNAcentral lists this non-coding RNA (24 nucleotides) under Arabidopsis thaliana (thale cress). Lineage: Eukaryota; Viridiplantae; Streptophyta; Magnoliopsida; Brassicales; Brassicaceae. The record is from RNAcentral.
ACGGGAAGCACACUGGACAUCAUU